This 497-nucleotide ribosomal RNA is filed under the name uncultured bacterium. RNAcentral describes it as "partial 16S ribosomal RNA". It matches the Rfam family "Bacterial small subunit ribosomal RNA", at positions 28 to 507 of the family's 1533-position model. The record is from RNAcentral.
GAUGAACGCUGGCGGCGUGCCUAAUACAUGCAAGUCGAGCGAACGGACGAGAAGCUUGCUUCUCUGAUGUUAGCGGCGGACGGGUGAGUAACACGUGGAUAACCUACCUAUAAGACUGGGAUAACUUCGGGAAACCGGAGCUAAUACCGGAUAAUAUUUUGAAUCGCAUGGUUCAAAAGUGAAAGACGGUCUUGCUGUCACUUAUAGAUGGAUCCGCGCUGCAUUAGCUAGUUGGUAAGGUAACGGCUUACCAAGGCAACGAUGCAUAGCCGACCUGAGAGGGUGAUCGGCCACACUGGAACUGAGACACGGUCCAGACUCCUACGGGAGGCAGCAGUAGGGAAUCGUCCGCAAUGGGCGAAAGCCUGACGGAGCAACGCCGCGUGAGUGAUGAAGGUCUUCGGAUCGUAAAACUCUGUUAUUAGGGAAGAACAUAUGUGUAAGUAACUGUGCACAUCUUGACGGUACCUAAUCAGAAAGCCACGGCUAACUACGUG